RNAcentral lists this small RNA (134 nucleotides) under Kaistia hirudinis. Its description in RNAcentral is "Alphaproteobacterial sRNA ar35". It matches the Rfam family "Alphaproteobacterial sRNA ar35". Lineage: Bacteria; Pseudomonadati; Pseudomonadota; Alphaproteobacteria; Hyphomicrobiales; Kaistiaceae. The record is from Rfam by way of RNAcentral.
AGAGCGGCAAGUCGUCCGCUGAGAACCUGCAGGCGGCCUGACGCCACAGCGCAUCUGGUUUUUGACCACGGAUGUACUGGCACUGACUGCUGAUGCGCUUACGAAGGCCGGGCCAGUUCCCGGCCUUUUCGUUA